This 468-nucleotide ribosomal RNA is filed under the name uncultured bacterium. RNAcentral's name for it is "partial 16S ribosomal RNA". It matches the Rfam family "Bacterial small subunit ribosomal RNA", at positions 28 to 507 of the family's 1533-position model. The record is from RNAcentral.
GACGAACGCUGGCGGCGUGCUUAACACAUGCAAGUCGAACGGAAAGGCCCUGCUUUUGUGGGGUGCUCGAGUGGCGAACGGGUGAGUAACACGUGAGUAACCUGCCCUUGACUUUGGGAUAACUUCAGGAAACUGGGGCUAAUACCGGAUAGGAGCUCCUGCUGCAUGGUGGGUGUUGGAAAGUUUCGGCGGUUGGGGAUGGACUCGCAGCUUAUCAGCUUGUUGGUGGGGUAGUGGCUUACCAAGGCUUUGAUGGGUAGCCGGCCUGAGAGGGUGACCGGCCACAUUGGGACUGAGAUACGGCCCAGACUCCUAAGGGAGGCAGCAGUGGGAAAUAUUGCACAAUGGGCGGAAGCCUGAUGCAGCAACGCCGCGUGCGGGAUGACGGACUUCGGGUUGUAAACCGCUUUCGCCUGUGACGAAGCGUGAGUGACGGUAAUGGGUAAAGAAGCACCGGCUGACUACGUG